This 443-nucleotide ribosomal RNA is filed under the name uncultured bacterium. RNAcentral describes it as "partial 16S ribosomal RNA". It matches the Rfam family "Bacterial small subunit ribosomal RNA", at positions 338 to 795 of the family's 1533-position model. The record is from RNAcentral.
CCUACGGGAGGCAGCAGUGGGGAAUAUUGGGCAAUGGGCGCAAGCCUGACCCAGCAACGCCGCGUGAAGGAAGAAGGCCCUCGGGUUGUAAACUUCUUUUUUCAGGGACGCAGAAAGUGACGGUACCUGACGAAUAAGCCACGCCUAACUACGUGCCAUCAGCCGCGGUAAUACGUAGGUGGCAAGCAUUAUCCGGAUUUACUGGGUGUAAAGGGUGUGUAGGGGGGACUGCAAGUCAGAUGUGAAAUUCCAGGGCUCAAACCUGGAACUGCAGUUGAAACUGUAGUUCUUGAGUGAUGGAGAGGCAGGCGGAAUGCCGGGUGUAGCGGUGAAAUGCGUAGAUAUAAGGAAGAACACCAGUGGCGAAGGCAGCCUGCUGGACAUUAACUGACGCUGAGGCGCGAAAGCGUGGGGAGCAAACAGGAUUAGAUACCCCUGUAGUC